This 345-nucleotide ribosomal RNA is filed under the name uncultured bacterium. Its description in RNAcentral is "bacterial SSU rRNA". It matches the Rfam family "Bacterial small subunit ribosomal RNA", at positions 29 to 398 of the family's 1533-position model. The record is from RNAcentral.
AACGAACGCUGGCGGCAUGCCUAACACAUGCAAGUCGAACGCGUGGCUUCGGCCACGAGUGGCGCACGGGUGAGUAACGCGUGGGAACCUGCCCAUCGGUACGGAACAACCGCGGGAAACUGCGGCUGAUACCGUAUAUACCCUGCGGGGGAAAGAUUUAUCGCCGAUGGAGGGGCCCGCGUCGGAUUAGGUAGUUGGUGGGGUAACGGCCUACCAAGCCUGCGAUCCGUAGCUGGUCUGAGAGGAUGAUCAGCCACACUGGGACUGAGACACGGCCCAGACUCCUACGGGAGGCAGCAGUGGGGAAUAUUGGACAAGUGGGGGCAACCCUGAUCCAGCAAUGCC